AGAGAGAGACAUGCGCGCAUAUCAAUAAGCGGAGGAAAAGAAACUAACAAGGAUUCCCUCAGUAACGGCGAGUGAAGCGGGAAGAGCUCAAAUUUGAAAUCUUCAAGGGUUUACCUUGACGAAUUGUAGUUUAAAGAAGUGUUUUCUGUUAGAGAGUUUGGUAAAAGUUCUUUGGAAUAGGACAUCAUAGAGGGUGAGAAUCCCGUAUUUGACCAUUAUUUCCAGCUUUGUGAUACACUUUCAAAGAGUCGGAUUGUUUGGGAAUGCAGUCCAAAAUGGGUGGUAAAUUUCAUCUAAAGCUAAAUACUGGCGAGAGACCGAUAGCGAACAAGUACCGUGAGGGAAAGAUGAAAAGAACUUUGAAAAGAGAGUUAAACAGUACGUGAAAUUGUCAAAAGGGAAGCGUUUGACACCAGUGUUGUUUUCUCGAAAAUCAAUUAAAAAUGGCCUGGAUUUUGUGUUGUAUUGACCUUUAAUCAAGCAUACUGUCUACUUUUUCAUUGUCUUUUUAAUGCACUUUUCGUUUAACAAGUCAACAUCAGUUUCUUUUGCUGUAAAAGAGUCAUUGGAAGGUGGCUUUCUUUUCGGAGAAAGUGUUUAUAGCCUUUGACUUCUGCAAUCGGAGAGAUCGAGGUCUGCAGCGUAGAUCCUUCUGGAUUAGAUACAUUUGUGCUAAGUUAUAGCCUUCUCAUAGACAACUUGUUGACUAUGAUCUGUCAUGUAGCUUACUCGCUUAUGCUAUUUUACCUACGCUUAGGAUGUUGACAGCAGUAUAGACUG
Molecule: ribosomal RNA, 780 nt
Filed under: uncultured Neocallimastigales
Lineage: Eukaryota; Fungi; Neocallimastigomycota; Neocallimastigomycetes; Neocallimastigales
Description: partial large subunit ribosomal RNA
Rfam family: Eukaryotic large subunit ribosomal RNA
Source: RNAcentral